This is a long non-coding RNA of Osmia bicornis bicornis, 4567 nucleotides long. RefSeq lists it as uncharacterized. The transcript has 4 exons. The record is from RefSeq and is a predicted model, not a curated record. Lineage: Eukaryota; Metazoa; Arthropoda; Insecta; Hymenoptera; Megachilidae.
AGUUUGAGAUUUUGAACUUCAACAUGGCGGAUUAUAUAAUCUAUGGCUCGCGGCCAUACUGGUUCGCCGAUUCACCGCUCUGCUGUGAGUCGCUGCCUAUCAUCUUCGACUCGAUUCGGUUCGUAUAUUCGGGUCUUCUAUCUUGUGCAUUCUUGGUUCACUGGUUAUGUUUGUUGUACGCUCCGUUUCGUACAUGUUCAUGAUGCUCGAGGCGGUGGAGAGAAUUGUGCGGCUUCUUAGUUCAUUCUUAAUUAAUUUAUUUAUUGUUGGAAUUCAACUACAAUUACAAUAGCUAUUAAUUAAUUGAUUUAAUUCAUGUGUUAACUGUUUAUUAUUUACCCUCAGAUUAUUGUAGCCGUUCAUCCUACUAACCCCUUUUGGAGUGCGUAACCUGUGUGAUUUCCGUCGCAUUGUGAUGUUGGACGACUGUGCUCUGUGCUGUGUUGCUAUUGAUGGCCAUUGAUGGCCAUUGAUGGCCAUUAGCGGUGAUAUCUCUUGUUCUAAUUUGUUCUAAUUUGUUCUAAUUUGAAUUUGAAUUUAAUUAUUCAAUUGAUUUUAUACUCUAAGUAAAUUCAUACCGGUAUUAUACUUAUCGUUAACCAGUUUAUUCACAAGCCUUUCAAUGUAGUGUCUGGUUUUCAAUUUCCUGGUAAUCUGGGAUUGUCCAGUGUCAAUUACAGUAAAUUGAGAUAGCCAAUUGUUGUUUUGAUCUUAAUUGCUAUUGCAAAUAACUUAAGUCGUAACUUGCUUUGUCAUUUGCAUUUUCACCUGAUUGGCUGGGUACGGUUUCUAGUAGUUAAUUAUUGUUCAUUUCUUGCUCAGUGCAACGGAGGUCUGCACGGUUCUAAUUGAUUUACAUCAAGUUAUUAGUAUGAUUGGGGGCUGUACCUCAAUGUUUCCUUCAAGGAUUCCUUGACUUUAACUACUUUCAUAAAGUACUUUAGUUAUCAGUUCUCUGUUAUACUCCUGACGUCUACUUAACUUAUUCUUGCUCUUAUAUUAUUUUAGUUCAACCUAGUAUGAUUACAAUUGUGAUCAUGAUCCCGGUCUUUUCAUGACUGGGAAAUAAUCUAUUUAUUUGUUUGCAAUCGGAAGCUCAUUUAUAGUUGGGUUUUGAUGUUGCUCAUUCAAUUCGGUUCAACUACGUUCACAAUUUUAUUAUAAUUUUAUUAUAAUUUUAUUAUCUGUAUUACAGCGUACGGCGCGCACUUGUCGCCUUAUCUCACUUAUUUCCUCAUUUGCUACUUAUUUUAUUAAAUGCUAUUAACAUGUUUACACACUACUUUGGUGUUGUUCUGGACGAUUUAUGAUUUGUUAAUAUUGUUGGACGUAUAAUGCUGUUGUUCAUUUCAGAAUUGGCAAAGUUGCAUUUAUGCGCAGUGAUGCAACUUUCACUCAUUUUCUUAUUCUACCUUAUUAGGUGCCGGGUGUCUGGCUGACAUGUGGGGAUGGUUGAAGAAGUCGAACUAGACAUGAUUGGGAAUGUAGUGGGGUGAUUUGAUCAGUCGAGGCAAUGGAUUUGUUCAAUGAUCCCGGGUAUCUUUAUGAUACGGGUAAUUUGUUGCAGUCUUGGUUACACUGUACCACAAGAUGGCUUGUGCUGUUAGCUAUGGUACCGGGUGCCCGGUUGACAUUGAAGGAUGGUUGGAGGUGUUGGAUUUGAUUUGAAUUGGAAUUGGACUGGAUUGGGGCGAGCUGCUGGUCGACGAUACCAAUAGAUUUGACCAGUAAUCACGUGAACCGUUAUGAUGCGGGAACCUGGAAACUUGUUACUUGUGCAAUUUUGUUGCAUUAGACCACAAGACGGCUGUGUCGUUGACUACGGUGAUGUCUUUGAUUCUUUAUAUUCCUUAUACUUCUACAUUUUGAUUUUGAAUUUGAUUAUACUAAUUAUUAAAUUGCUAAUUACUAAAUUACUUAAUCAUUUAUGCGCGGCUUACUGAUUUAUAUACGACGUUUGUGAAGUACUUGUCUCUUGUUUCGCUGUUAGCCUUGAGGUUGUUCAGUAGAAAUGAAAUGCAGUAAACUAGGUAUUAAUGGCUGAAUAUUUGACCAUUGAUCGGAUGUUUUGCUGUUUGCCUAGGGUGGCACUCCUCUCAUUCUUUUUCUUAAGGUUACUAGAGUGGUUAGGCUGUGUAUUUAUGUAUUAUUGUUAAUUAGUUUCUAUUCAAUGCUGCAGAGUUUGCACGGUUCUGUUAUUAAAACAAUUGGAAACUGUUAUUCGCGCCCGUCCUCUAUCAUGAUUAUUCACUCCGUUGGGGCAUGUUAGUCAUUUAACUUCCCGCUACUCUUAUAACCUUGAUUCGUUCUCUCUUAAUUGCCUCGUCGUCGAAGUUGUACGGAUUUCUGGUCGGGUGGCGGGGUGAGGACCCAUUCUUACUGCGACCGUGAUUUUGUAUGCGGCCGGAGUGUGGUCUCUUUUCGGGUCAUUACGGGAUUCGGUCGGGCGACGGGAUCAAGAUUUGACUCUGGCCGCAUGCCUGUGGUUUAGCCCACGGCGUUUGUUUUGUUCCGUCUCAUCUUGCUUUAUUGAAUUCAUUCAUCAAUAUUGCUGCAUGCUGUGUCACCUCCUUGAUGCAUGCUGCUACUUGUUGACUACAUUGUUGUUUGCGGCUUCCACAGGUGUCGGGCGCCCGGUUGACAUCUGAAGAAUGAUUGGAGGAGUUUCAAUUGGAUUGAUCUGAACUAGAUUGGGAUGGACUGUUGUUUGAUGGAGCCAGUGGAUUUGUCCAAUAAUCCCGUGAAUCUUUAUGAUAUGGGCAACCCGCUGUGGUAUUUGUUGCAUUGUGCCACGGGAUGGCUUGUGUCGCCAGUUACGGUGCCGGGUGCCCAUUUGACAUGUGAGGGACGGUUAAGGGAAAUGGAAUUGAUCUGGUUGGACCGGAUUAGGGUGGCUUGAUCGAUUGAAUUAUAGGUCUGUCCAGUAAUCCCGUGACUCUAGGAUACGGGUAACCUGUUGCAAUUUCUAUUGCAUUGUGCCGCAAGACGGCUUGUAUCACUAGCCACGGUGUCCUGUGCCCGGUUGGCAUAUCAAGUGGUUAAGGAUUACAAAUUGGACCGGAUUGGUUAAGCUAUUAUUAUUGAGGGAUCCAACUGAUUUAUCCACUAAUUAUGUGAAUCCCUAUUUACGGGUAACAUGCUGCAGUGGGCAUGGUGUUGCCGGACGACCUAUGUCGCUAUUGAUGGUGGUAUUUUAUGCUUUUAUUUGGUUAUGUCUUGACACUUUGUUAUUGGUAUCGAUUAUAUUUCGACUUAUAUUAAUUUAAUCCAUAUUUAGUUUAUAUUUGACGCUAAAUUAAGCUACACUAAUGAUGCAUUGUUGUGUUAUAUUAUACGCAAUUACUGUUGUAAUAUGUAUGGUGUCUUGGUUCGCUGUGUCUGCGGGAGUUCUUACCGCUGGCCGCAGCGAGUCGAGGAAACUUAUAAUUAAAUGAUUAUAUUAUGUUAACACUUCGCCAACCGCACGCGCCACAGCGAACUAUACUUUUCUCACCGCGUUCGGAUAAGCCUACUAAAUUGGUGUAUUUUAUUAUAUACUGUACUUUAUAUAAACAGAAAAAGUCCGCAAUUAAUUCAGUACAAUUCCACAUCAACAAUAACUAAUAAUAAUAAAAAAAAAGAAAACGCGUUGCUACGGUCAAAAUAGGAGAUCUCCCCGAUCGUUCAGGCAACGACUUGCUUUAAAGUGGGGAGAUCUCCCCGAUCGGUUAUGCAGCGACUUGCUUUAAAGCGGGGAAAUCUCCCCAUUCGGUUGGCUAAGUGUUAAGUGACGUUGAUCCUAGCUGUCUAAUUGUCCAUAUCGAUUAUCUAGGGCUGUGCUCCCUCGCUUAUUCUUUUGCGCAGUCGGGGGGUCUUACAUUGGUCACCUGGUCAUUAAUUAUCCAAUAUAAUAGGGUCUUACGCGAUUCUCAUUGCUUACAAUGCCGGGAUGACUAUUUCCUAUUAAUAAUAGGCUGUUCUAGCUAACUAAUUUAGCUGCUACUUUUACCCUUUAGCUCUUACUUAUUCUGCGCUAGCGAUGACAUUGAUUAUAUUCAUGAUGUGGGAUGGGGUUUGGACGUGAUUGCAAUCGUGACACUGGCUUCUGGUUUCCCCGUGACUGUACAUGGUCCUUGGCGGCCUCCGGGAACAUGGGUUGUGAGGGUAUAGUCGAUUUACCUUGGUCUCAUUACUUAUACUGAUACUGAUACUACUAUUAAUCUCACGGCUUUAUUCAUUUCAUUAGUUUAUAUAGUUUAUUUAGUUUAACAAUUGAUUAACGCUAACGGGUUCUCCAUUGCCGGUUGUAGUUUCCUGAUCGCCGGUGCCGUUGAUGAUCUUGAUGUGGGUGACGCGGGUGGGUUGGCUGGACUGGACUGAUUGUGGUCUGGCGACCCCCCCUUAUUCACACCCUUAUGCACUCAGCGACUGAUUCGUCGGACGAAUCACGGUUCAUCCGCCUGAUAUGCCAAAUCGUUUAUUUCAAUUUACUACGAUAUCCAUCUAGUAACUUAUUAUUAAUUUAUUUAUUAGUUAUAUUAACCUAAUUUUAUUGCUCACUAACUAAUUAGCUAACUAACUAACUAUU